GCUCAGUUCUUACCCCAAGUUCACCAAUGCUUCAGACUAAUGAAAGUCUUACAUCAGUCACAUUGAGAUUACUGUGCUGGCGUGCCACCUCUGAGACCUACAUCAUGGACGGGAUCUGUGAUUUCAUCAUUUCAGCUGCCACUGACAACCUACAGAUGUGACAACAUGCUCACGCCCUCAACCGCGAAGCCAAAGACGCACCCUCAGACAAAUGAUCAUUUCAGCUUUACAUAGCAGCACGUUCCCAUGCACUGAUACACAUACUGUACACACACUAUGUUUAAGCACAGGUUCAUAUGUUUAUUUGAUGUGUAAUGUUAUUUGCAGCAAAGUGAUAAUAAAGUAGUAUCUUGAUUGUAAAUCUUCUUUUCAGAAUGGCUUUUCUAUAAAAUGUACUUUACAGUAAUUUGAGACCCCCAAUGAUUUUUUUUAAGGUCCUCUCCUUGCUUUGCUUUGAAUGAAGGUGGAUGGAAGAAGAUCGUUUUUAGGCGAGUUUAUGUUUUAGGUUUGGUUUUGCAUAAAUGAAAGGCUGUACACCUGAGCAACUUCCCAUUAUCUUUCACCAGAAUCAAUAGAGUGAUGAGGGCUAUAAAUGACAAAAUAUAUGUAGACAAGACAACUCAUGAUUCAGUAUGUAAAGAGAGGCUCUUUGCAAUACAGUGUGCAAAUAUUGCAAUGAUCUCAUCAUUAUCUGUUACAUUUUGAUAUUUCAUUCUAUGGAAUUCAAGGGCAUCCAAAACUGUUUGGUUACCAACAUUCUUCAAAGUAUCUUCUUUUGUGUUCCACAGGUUUGGAACAACGUAAAGAACAGAGAAUUUUCAUUUUGGGUGAGUUAUCCCUUUAAGAUUAUUAUAUAAAGCUAUGUCUACAUUAUUCAGGAUUACAUUAAAAUGUUCACUAGAUGUGGACAAAGGCAUAAUGAAGUUAUAAAUUCUUUUGGCAGGAUUUUUUUUAUCUUUUCAUCUUUGCAGGAAUGUGGUAUGAAGAGUAUACAGAUUUACAUAUGUGACACUGGACACUGGACUGGACUGGACACCAGUCAUAAGGGCAUGGUUUGGUUUCUGUGCAGAAGAAAAAGGAAAUCAACAACUGGAUGGCAUUCAGAUGCAUUCAGCAUCAUGAGCCACAAGUGUGACCAAUCAUCUUGACUCCUUUGUGUCUCAUACUGCAUAUAAUUGGAAAAUGCUGAACAGCUGUUCCCCUAUUGGUUAAUUAACCCUUUAAAGGAUUCAUGCAUGCAAGAAAAUGCAAACUUACAGUGGCACAGAUUUAUUAUGAGCUGGUAAGUGAUAUAUAAUCUGCAACUGGAAGAUUAAAGCCUUGUUAAAAAUGAAUUGUCAUGCAACUUUGAAUUUCCAUGUAGCUACAUGCACUGUGCUGACAGAUGUUUCAUUUACUUUGCAGCAGUAAUGGGAAGUUUGAAUCAUUACUGUGCAUCGAUUCAUUCAAAAAG
Long non-coding RNA from Cyprinus carpio (common carp), 1453 nucleotides. The record is from Ensembl. Lineage: Eukaryota; Metazoa; Chordata; Actinopteri; Cypriniformes; Cyprinidae.